GAGGGAGGGUAUGAAACAUGUAAAACAUAUCUGAGAAAGUGCCCAUCCCGUCAUCCUUGGUUGCCUGAAUACCUUGACUCCCACUGGGAGGAGAACGGACACAUCACAGAGUCCUAGUUAUUGAGGAGGCAGGAAGACACGAUCAGUCACGACCAUACCAUGAAGCAAAGAGAAUCCAGACACAGCAGUGUGAGCUGUGGGAUUCUGUUGGCUAAAAUGUCCCGAUUCUUGGUGACGGGACAUAACAGAGGCCAAGGUGAAGAUCUGCCUUGGAGGCAGAGAGGAAGGGGAAGGCGCGUAAGGUGCAGCCCUUGAAGACUGGGUGUGUUUGGUUUCUGACUGGAGUCUGGUCACACACUUUGGAGUGGGUCGUUCUAACAGACCAACUUAUCCAUUUUGUGGGUGGAUAAAGAAGGGAGUCCCGUGUCACAGGAUAUUGGAACCCCAAGAUCGUGUGCCCAUCCCAAGCACACACUUUUAGUCAAAGAGCUUUGCGUUUAUCAUAAGCAGUCUUAAAUAAAAUCAACCACAGAUCAAGAAGUGGAGCAAAGCAACCAGCUGACGGGGUGGACAUUGAAGUAAAUGGACAGAGUGGGAGGAAGUCAGGAGGAGGGAUAGUGAGGCACACAGGAAGGAGAAGGGAGGGAUGCUCAGUUGGAAGGUUUAUUGGGCUAGUGUGGAGAAGGAGAGCUUUUUCCUUUUGGGAUGCUGGCUGAGCAGCAAGGUCAGCUGGGUGCUUUCUCUGCCCCUCUGAGGCUUUCACCCCAGCAUCUGGCUCCUGACUCUUCACUGGUAAAUGGAACGUUUAAGACUCUGUUAAGAACAACAGUGGGGGUCCACCUACUGAUUGGCUUUCACAGUCGCUCGCUCCUUCCUCCACAGGGGAGUUCAUCUUCUCUUGACUUUCUUUGGUGAACUCCUAUAGAUUGAUCUCAUCUAGACCAGGCUUCUUCUUCUUAAGGAAGCCCUUUUCCUAUUGUAUCAGUCAGCGGUGGCCGCAAAACAAACACGACCAUGAAGAGAGUGAGAACAGUGAUUGUUAGCUCACAUUUCUUUAUUUGGGACGUACGUGAUACCCAUGAGCUGGGGUGUCAGACAGGAGGGCUCCAUCCAGACAGAGUACCCAGGGAGGAAGCCAGCAGCAGGAUAUGACAUAGGCCCGCUGUCUAGGCCCCUCAGUGGCAGAGUGGAGACCAGACCGAGUAUGGAACUCAGGCGGUGACCACUAGCCUGUACAGAUUCGGACCCCAGCCCCGGCACCUCCUUCCUGUGCAGCUUUGGGUGGGCGUGGACUUCUGUCCUGGUGAAAGGGAGUCACAGUGAGUUUUAGAGGCAAUGAUCACACAUAAUGUGCAGAGCUGCUCCCUAUACAUAGUAGGUACACAGCAAGGACCCUGUAGUCUGCUUGCUCUGGCAGACUAAUGUCACUCAGAGAUCCCUGGUGGCAGGGGAUCCUGACUCAUUCAGUGACCUUGGUAUCCUCAGUUCUGCAGUGACUAUGGCCUGGAGCAGCUGUGACUGGGUGGCCCCUCUCCAGGUGCAGGUGCUGGACCUGCAGGAUCCUCCAGUGUGUCUCAGAGCCAGCCCCAUGUUUAAGGGCUUGCCCUAGGAUGCAGGUCAAAGGUAACCAGGCCCCUCCACCACCAGCAGUGUGGACCGCAACGUGGCGUGGCGUUAAUGUUGGAGUAAGUUGGCACUAGUCGCUGCGGGCUGUGUGGGAGCCCUGCCUCCUCUCCCUCUCCUUCUAACUUGGGAACUGACUCUCUUUCUAACCAGUUCCUCUACCCUUGGGGUCAUUCACUGGCCUUAGCAGGAAGCUGGAAGAGAGGAUGGGAGGGAGGAGGGGCUUGGGGAGAUCCAUCCACAGCAGAGAUAGCAGGACUCUGGUACUUCACCGGGAUCCUAAGCUGCCUGCCUGGUUUCUUGUGCCCUGUUUUAAGAACAGGUUUCUUUUUGAUACCAACCUUUCUGGAAAGAACUGCCCACGCGAACAUCACCUGCCCUGCGACCCGAUCAUUGCAGAACUCCUUCAGCAAAGCAGGAGGCUGGCUCCUGACAGACCUCUGGUCCUGAGGUCAGGCUCCCCUCUCCAGCAUCCCCAUCCACGAGAGGCACCGUGGGUGGCAUGUCCCUAGUAGCAGGGCCCUUUCGCCAUCACAAAGAGAACCCACUUCUCCCAAAUGAAUGGAACCCCAACUUCAGGAACACAUGGUCUCACUGCAGUGUGCGGACAGGUGGGGGAUUCUCGGCUCUACUUGAUCCUGACAGGAUAUGGGACAACUGUGGCCACUAAGCAUCUAGACCUCAUGGCUCAUGGAUUUCAUAGCAGAAUCCAUGCCCCAAUCCUGUGCAUUCUCAGGGGGCUGCUGGGUGCUCAGUGGUGAUAUAAGGGGACACACACACACGCUCAGGACAAUGAGGCAGCAAAUAGGGGUGUAGCGUCUGGGUCACAGUGACACUGGGAGGGAGGGAGAGGCGCCUGUGGUAGGAAGGAAGUUAGAGAUGUGCGUAGAAGGAACCAAGGGCUGAGAAUCAGGAAGGUGGAAGAGUAUCUAGCUGUGGGCAGAAGAGUCCAUUGUGGUGUCAGACUAGCUUUAAAGGAAUGGGGAGGGUGCACAGGACACCCAGACUUCCCCACAUGUCCCUGUCAGAGAAUGUCUCCAUCUUCUCAGGGUUUCUUGCAGUCUCCCUCAUUUACUUCCUUCCCUGGCCACUUCUUUCACCAGGACUCGCUGGUACUCACCGUCAGCCGUCAGCCGCUGUGCAGGGCACAGGUGGUCCCAUGCCAGUCCCUGCCUCUGCCACCAGGGACAUAAAGGGCAGUUUGAUGUGGAAGGACUCAGUAAUAGCAGUGUCGUGCCACAGUGAGAAAGUGUGUCUCUGCUAGAGGUGCUCCCGCCCCCAGAACCAUUCUCUUCCAAGCAAAGCAAAGUUACAUUGUUAUACCUGUCAGAUGGCUUGAGGGAAGGCCGUGUGCCAGCAUCUAGUGCCCCGGAACACCUCAAAUGGAUCCUGGAAGGACUUCAUGGUGACCGGGCUUGGUGGGGUGCAGCUGCUCAUUUUGACAGGCUGGAAGAGAGGACCAGGAGAGCAAGCAAAAGGAGGCAGUGGAGACAAGCAAUACCCUUCCAAAGCAUGUCCCCCAUAGUGGCCUCUUCCCUUAAACUCUCCCUCUGCCUCCCAACUUCCCAUUGCCUCCCAACACCACUGCCAGUUAUAACUCUAUCGAGGGACUUUCCAUUGAUGAAGACAGCACCUGUUUGCUGGUUCAUCUAAUCUGUGUCUGGAUUCAUCUAUACUGUCAUUGCUAUAGGCAGUGUGUGUGUGUGUGU
This 3332-nucleotide small RNA is filed under the name Rattus norvegicus (Norway rat). Its description in RNAcentral is "uncharacterized LOC102555497". The record is from RNAcentral. Lineage: Eukaryota; Metazoa; Chordata; Mammalia; Rodentia; Muridae.